RNAcentral lists this ribosomal RNA (488 nucleotides) under uncultured bacterium. RNAcentral describes it as "partial 16S ribosomal RNA". It matches the Rfam family "Bacterial small subunit ribosomal RNA", at positions 28 to 507 of the family's 1533-position model. The record is from RNAcentral.
GACGAACGCUGGCGGCGUGCUUAACACAUGCAAGUCGAACGGAAAGGCCCUGCUUUUGUGGGGUGCUCGAGUGGCGAACGGGUGAGUAACACGUGAGUAACCUGCCCUUGACUUUGGGAUAACUUCAGGAAACUGGGGCUAAUACCGGAUAGGAGCUCCUGCUGCAUGGUGGGGGUUGGAAAGUUUCGGCGGUUGGGGAUGGACUCGCGGCUUAUCAGCUUGUUGGUGGGGUAGUGGCUUACCAAGGCUUUGACGGGUAGCCGGCCUGAGAGGGUGACCGGCCACAUUGGGACUGAGAUACGGCCCAGACUCCUACGGGAGGCAGCAGUGGGGAAUAUUGCACAAUGGGCGGAAGCCUGAUGCAGCAACGCCGCGUGAGUGAUGAAGGUCUUCGGAUCGUAAAACUCUGUUAUUAGGGAAGAACAAAUGUGUAAGUAACUAUGCACGUCUUGACGGUACCUAAUCAGAAAGCCACGGCUAACUACGUG